RNAcentral lists this ribosomal RNA (665 nucleotides) under uncultured bacterium. Its description in RNAcentral is "bacterial SSU rRNA". It matches the Rfam family "Bacterial small subunit ribosomal RNA", at positions 84 to 748 of the family's 1533-position model. The record is from RNAcentral.
CAGCAAUGUCACCGGCGCACGGGUGCGUAACGCGUAUGCAACCUACCUAGAACUGGGGAAUAGCCCGGGGAAACCCGGAUUAAUACCGCAUAAGACAUUAGAAUCACAUGGUUUAGAUGUUAAAGCUUUGGCGGUUUUAGAUGGGCAUGCGUCCGAUUAGCUAGUUGGGGAGGUAACGGCUCACCAAGGCGACGAUCGGUAGGGGUUCUGAGAGGAAGAUCCCCCACACUGGCACUGAGAUACGGGCCAGACUCCUACGGGAGGCAGCAGUAGGGAAUAUUGGGCAAUGGUCGCAAGACUGACCCAGCCAUGCCGCGUGCAGGAAGAAGGGGCUACGCCUCGUAAACUGCUUUUAUAUGGGAAGAAAAAGUCCUUGCGGGGAAAACUGACGGUACCAUAUGAAUAAGCACCGGCUAACUACGUGCCAGCAGCCGCGGUAAUACGUAGGGUGCAAGCGUUGUCCGGAUUUAUUGGGUUUAAAGGGUGCGUAGGCGGCCCUAUAAGUCAGAGGUGAAAGAUGUCGGCUUAACCGGCAAAUUGCCUUUGAUACUGUAGGGCUUGAGUACAGAUGAGGUGGCCGGAAUGUUACAUGUAGCGGUGAAAUGCUUAGAUAUGUAACAGAACACCGAUUGCGAAGGCAGGUCACUAAGGUGUAACUGACGCUG